UACGGAGGGGGCUAGCGUCGUUCGGAAUUACUGGGCGUAAAGGGCGCGUAGGCGGUUUACCCAGUCAGGCGUGAAAGGCCUGGGCUCAACCCGGGAACUGCGCUUGAUACUGGUAGACUUGAGUCCGGGAGAGGAUGGCGGAAUUCUCGGUGUAGAGGUGAAAUUCGUAGAUAUCGAGAGGAACACCGGUGGCGAAAGCGAUUCUCUGGACGGUAACUGACGCUGAGGCACGAAAGCGUGGGGAGCAAACAGG
This 253-nucleotide ribosomal RNA is filed under the name uncultured bacterium. Its description in RNAcentral is "partial 16S ribosomal RNA". It matches the Rfam family "Bacterial small subunit ribosomal RNA", at positions 524 to 776 of the family's 1533-position model. The record is from RNAcentral.